GGAACAGAAUUGCUAUUAAUUUUUAAAUGAACAAUACAAAAAUCUCAUCUCACUAUCUCACUAUCUCAAUUACAAUGCCACACGAUAACCGUAAAAGAACAAAGAAGGAAAGAAUUGGCUGACUCUAACCACCAGGAAAGGAUUCCCCCAACAAGGAAAAGAACCCCUUCUUUACAAAGAAGACACUUAACCGAAUUCUCAAGACAUGCCAAAGCUGUUUCCACACCCCUUUAUUUAUACUUUUUCUCUCUCUCCUACUCAUCCAGCUGUUGGCACCCCUUCACAUGCCACUGGCACCACUAACAACCUCCUCUCUGUCAUUACCUUCAUUUGCUCUUCUAGAAUAUACUUGAAAGGUCCUACGGUUUGGACUAGCUACUGCAUGCCCACCGUUGCCAUCCCAAGGAAAACUAGCCUUAUCCCAGGGCUAAAAUGGGCCCUCUUUCUGGACAGUGCUGGUUUGGCAAAUAGCUUCAGGCUCAAUGAGUGUCUUUAGCCACCAAAUCUAUAGGAAGAGUGGUCACCACCGAAUAUUGCCAAUUACUCUCUUAACAUGAAAAACAGGGUGUACCUUGGAUGCUGGUGCAGGCGCAAUUUGUAAGCAACAACAACUAUUUUCCCACAAUCUCGAAACGACCAAAAUAUUUCACUACCAAUUUUUUAUUGGCUCGUCAUGCCAUGGACUGUUGGCAGUGGGGACGAAGCUCAAGAAACACCUUGACACCGAUAUCAAAUUGGACAUCCCUCCAGUGCUUAUCAGCAAAUUUUUUUCAUCUGUUGUUGUGCCCAGUUGAGGUUAAAUUGCAGCAGGCAGAAAAUUUCAUCACAAUCAACCAAAUUUUGGGCCACGGAUUCAACAUGUGUCUCUCCAUGCAAGAAACAACUGAGGUGGGAGGUGGUCAAAUGGUGUUUGGCAGACAGCACCUUAGAAGGAGGUGUUGUACCAAUACUCAGCCCAGCACAAGCACUUCAACCAUAGCUUAGGCUGCUCCGAGGAGAAAAAAUGCAGAUAGGAUUCAAUGGUAUAGCUCAAGAAGACCUCCAUUUGCCCAUCCAUUCGCGGAUGGUAGGCUAAACAAAAUUUCAACUGUGUGCCCUGGAGGCAAAGCAAUGAAAUGGCCAUAUGGGAAGGUAAAGAGAUAAGGUUUAAAUCUCCUUCUAUAUGCUGGACUUUAUAAACUGUGUUUUGAGAACCAAUCUUUUAGUCGUAAUAAUUGCAGUUGAGGAAGACUCUUGUUUUUGAAGUGAAUCUUUGGGGAAAAUGAGUUGUCCACAAUUAUCAGAAAAUAAUGUCCAACAAUGUCAUCUUGAAAAAUGUACCCUUAAUUUGGUAACAGGCAUCAAGGACAAGGUAGUGCACCAUUUCCAUGCUGAAAUUUUGAUAGCAUCAUUACUCAGCAACAACAUUACAAUAGAAAAUGUAACAAUUCAAAUUCCAAAAGAUGAGAACAGAAAAAUAAAAUGAUCACUUAGAUUAAGGAACACAUUACUAGAAUCUAAAAUUUUAAAUUGAAUUGAGAAGCAAAAACCUUUAAAAGAAUAUUUACCUCCAGAUGGAUAGGCCAUUUACUCUGAUCAGCACUACACCCCAUCAAUCUUACUCCAUCUUUUAUCUGCUUUCCUAUAGCCUUAGUAUCUUAUUAUAACAUCUGCACUGAUCAAUAUAAAACAAUGUCUGAUAUGGACAGAGGUUCCUUUAUUCUUAGUUUAGAUGUUCUACACAGUAAGAAGUGAGGUUACUUCAAUCUUACACCAAAAAGCUCAUCUCAGGAAGCCUAUCAUAGUUGAAUAUUUGUACUUCGCUUUAGAUAAACUAGCAGCUUGACAGUAGAUCAAGAACAGGCAUCCCAUUAGUAUUUGCAGCGAUACAAAGGUCCCCACAGAAGAAGAAUAAUGAAAGAGAGCAAACCAGAAUAAUGAACAUCUUCUUUCUCAAUAUAGGGAGAUAAGUCGUUUCUGAAAUAAGAUACAGCUCAAUGAUGCUACGCAUCGCCAUUUUACUGGUUUUGGAGGCAGCUGAGAAAAUUGAAAGCAACAAGCAUUGAUUGUGGAUGCCAGAUUGCCUUCCACAAUAAGCAAUCAAGGCGGCUUGGCUGAGAGUCAUAGAAGAUAGGCAAAGUUGUUGAGAGGAAUUAAUAGGGGUUAGUUUUGUCUUCUGUUAGAAUUAUACCAUGCGAAAAGUAAGAUACCCAAACUGAUUGGCAGGUAUCACAUGCCUAUAUUGAGUAGGAAUACAAGAAUUCAGGGAGUACAACAUUCCUGGGAAUAUAAUAUAACCCUUCUGCCAAACAUGAGAAAUGAUUUCCCAGUUUAUCUCAUUACUGGGAAUGGCAUGCCACUCCCCUCUACCAAACACCACUUAAAAAUUUUCAUCUGGGCAGGACAUGGAAGAAAAGUUUCCUUACUGCAAACCCACCCACUUCUUGAAGCUUAAUGCUGCUUCUCUCUUUUUUAGUUGUGCUUCUGUCUGGAAUUUGGGAGCUUUUCCCUUAUGAAGUGUUUUAUGGUACUUCAAGAAGAGGGUUCGAUACUUGUACUUGUCAAUGAACAUGUUCCCUUUCUCCAUCAUAUCAACAACUUCAUUUGCCCGAACAAAAAAUCCACCUCUAACAAAUGUAUAAAGUACAGAAUCCAGGAGUUCCUGAUCAAACAACAUUGAGGUGGCUGAAGCAAGAGCUUUCAUUUCACCCCAUAGCUCUGUCACCUCCACAUACUUCCCCCCAAUAGCAGCAUAGCCUGUUACCAUAGAAUGAAAAGUCUGAGCAUUUGGAGCAUGCCCCAGGAUCCUCAUCUUCUUCAAAGCCUUCUCUGCAUCUUUCAUCAAUUUCUUUCUACAGAAAAAAUGGAUUACAUUAUUCCAGUCAUGAACUCCAGAGUCCAAUGUCUGCCCAUCCUCGAUUUCCCGCAAGAGCUUUGUCAUCAACCCUGUUUCACCACCCUCUGAACAUCCCUUAACCAACAUCUCAAAUUCCUGAUGACUAGCUCUACUUAUUUUAGCAUCUUUCACCUCCUUGAACAGGUGGAGGGCACCAUGAGUAUCUUUUUGCAGAACUCGGGAUUCAAUCAAGGCCUCAUAGCAGCUUGAGUCUAGUUGGAUCCCUGCUCUACGAGCAUCUCGUAGAAGUGAUGCAGCCUCUCCUGCUCUGCUAGCUUUACAAUAGGAUUUUAAAAGGGAAGCAUAUACAGAAGAACUUGUUCUAACCCCGGCCAAACGCAUCUCAUCAAGAAGGUCAUGUGCCUGAUCGAGCCACCCAAGUGAAAUGCAUGAAUUAAUGACAUGAACUAAGACUGAAUCAUCAUUAGAAGCAGGGGAAUCUUCUUUCUCGGCCUUGUUGAGAAAGGCAACCAACUCCUUAGUCUUGCCAGAUUCUAAAUAUGCCUUGAUCAGUUUCACAUAAAUUUUAUCAGUAGGCAGAAGAAUACCAUGAUCAGUUGUAAUUAAUUCAACUUGUGUCUGCAACUUUCCUAACAAAGCACCAAGUAGCUCCUUUGCCUCUGCUUCAAGUUUCAAAAAGUUUCGAUCUUUAAAGAACUCUUUAUAAGAAAUCAUACAAUCUCCAAUUGAUGUAUUUUUCUUUAAGCCAUCUGGUUCUCUGUGGUUCAGACUUUUCUGAGAAAACUGUCCUGUAGAGGACUCGCAGUUAUCUUGAAUGAGAAGCGUGGCUGCAGCAAAAGAGUUGCGUGCUUCCUUUGCUUUCCAAAGCAUUUUCAAAACCAUGUUGGAAGCAGAUUCAAGGUCCCCAAAUUUCAACUGGCAUUGUAGUAAACAAGUAUAGAACUGCCGAAAUUGAAUAUCGCUUAAACUAUAAGCUUCAUCUACAUGUCUCUUAAGCUUCUUGAGUUCUUCUCUUCUCCCAUUCCUCUCAUAUAUAUGUGCCAUUGUUAUCAACAAAGUUGCAUCGACUUUAAUAUGAAUGUGAGGCAUCAUAUCAAGGAGCUGCUCAGCUUUCCUUGUUUUCCCAAACAAGAGACACCCAGCCAAAGCAAUAUUCACAGAAGUAGUAUUAGGCUUCAUAGCAAUCAAAGGUGCAUUGCUCUUCUUACGCGGGUCCACCCUGCCACCUUGGAACAAGUAACCUAUCUCAAGGAUCAACUCAGCAGUAAGGUAAGCUCCAGGAGCUGUUUGUGACAUGUGGGCCAAAAUUGCAGACCAAGCAGUCACGGGAGGAUAUAGUUCCAUUUCUAUCAACCUUCUUAUAAUAGUUGAUGCUGGAACUGAUAAACCACAUUUAGCAAGACCAAAGGAGAGAUAUAUCAGAGGUUCUUUUUCCAACAAAUUCUGUUUACUUUCCUCAACAGCCUGUUCCACCAAGCCAUAAGCCUUCUCAAGCCACUGAACAUCAAUGCUUUCUGCAAAUCUUGCUAGAAGUUUAUUUACAAUGGAUUUUCGUGGAAAUCCUUCCAUAUGCAUAUGCUGUUCAAACAGCUUCCAGGCAUCAUUAAAUCUAUUAUCAUCAAUAGCGUUUUCUAUUUCCAUACUUAGUUUGGCUGGGUCUCGAGCCUGGACCAAGAUAGCUCCACCAAAAGUUGAUAAAGAAUGCAUUUGACGAGAGAAGCCAUCCGACAUUCCUAAAAUAACAAUUGGCAAGUACAAGUUGAUCAAAGAGGAAUUGAUGAACUCACAGACAGGCCUGUGACUUGAAGAAACUCUAAUCUGGUGUCUGAAAAUCUGAGUGGCAUUGUAUCCAUUGUUGACAAGUAAGGGCAAAAAAACUGUAGGGGAAACUGCAGUGAUCCCAUGUCUCAAGUUCCUUAAAGACAACAUUGUUUUUCCAAAAGACAAUUAUCAACUAGAAAUCCUGCAAUGAACAGAUCAAAAAAUGCUGUCUAAUACUAUACAUAAUAUAAAAACCUUACCACAACUACAACUUGCAUAGAAAUGUUAAGAUAAAAAUACAGCAAAUUUUGAUCAAUACUGAUGUAGAUGAUAAUGAGCACCAUGCAAAUGAGGAUUUAAUGCAAGUAGGAAUAGUUAUGGGAUGGGGGCAUGGCAGCAAUUUACACUGUUUGAGAUGAAAGAAAGUAGCAGAAAGAAAAUUGUGAUGGAAAAUAUGAGGAGAAACUAAUUUUCCUUUGUUUGGGAAAUGGAAGAAUGAUAACCUCAAAUUUUCCAAUGGAGGGAAAAUUAAGCCCAAAAAUU
This 5140-nucleotide unclassified non-coding RNA is filed under the name Hevea brasiliensis (rubber tree). Lineage: Eukaryota; Viridiplantae; Streptophyta; Magnoliopsida; Malpighiales; Euphorbiaceae. The record is from RNAcentral.